RNAcentral lists this ribosomal RNA (273 nucleotides) under uncultured Prevotella sp. Its description in RNAcentral is "partial 16S ribosomal RNA". It matches the Rfam family "Bacterial small subunit ribosomal RNA", at positions 83 to 354 of the family's 1533-position model. Lineage: Bacteria; Pseudomonadati; Bacteroidota; Bacteroidia; Bacteroidales; Prevotellaceae. The record is from RNAcentral.
CCUUGAUGACGACUGGCGCACGGGUGAGUAACGCGUAUCCAACCUUCCCAUAACUACGGGAUAACCCGUUGAAAGACGGCCUAAUACCGUAUGAUAUCGUUUGCUGACAUCAAAUAACGAUUAAAGGUUUAGCGGUUAUGGAUGGGGAUGCGUCUGAUUAGCUUGUUGGCGGGGUAACGGCCCACCAAGGCUACGAUCAGUAGGGGUUCUGAGAGGAAGGUCCCCCACAUUGGAACUGAGACACGGUCCAAACUCCUACGGGAGGCAGCAGAC